Molecule: long non-coding RNA, 1069 nt
Filed under: Rattus norvegicus (Norway rat)
Lineage: Eukaryota; Metazoa; Chordata; Mammalia; Rodentia; Muridae
Description: long non-coding RNA NONRATT002970
Source: RNAcentral
CACUGCUGCUGUGGAUGAGGCACAGACAGUUCAGCCUUCAGCUGUCAAGCUGGGCCAGGAGCAGUUUCCACAUGGUUCCAGGUCCCCGCAGCAGCAGCAGCAGCAGCAGCAGCAGCAACAGCAACAGCAGCCAGGCUCUCCCUAGCUGCUGCUUGCCCUCCAGGCUGAGCCACAGUUCAGUCCAGCAGAUUCCAGUUUGCUCAGGCAUAACCACCAGCAAAGCAAGCAAGCAGACUAUGCAAGACAGGAAGUAACUAGCUGAAAUGCCAACGAAUGUUUCUUUUUUCACCUGAUACACUGUUUACUCUUAACUGUACAAAUAUAGUUUGUCCUAAGAGCCAAGAGAGGAACCUUUCCACCUACAAAUAGAAAAUGGUUGUCUGUUGGCUUUAGGCUACCUGUUACAGCUCCUCAUAGCCUGGUGUUGUAUUUAUUCAACCUGUUUACAUUAGAAUUGGAGAAGGGGCCCUGGAUCUUGGUGGGCUGCCACUGUACCCCCAAGAGCCUUUUGAUAGAGGGACUUGGGACACGUUAUGGCCUGUCAGGGAUGCUUUUACCACAAAGAAAUGGUAUGGAAUCAAGUGGGAUGAUUGAUGUAUGAUUGACACAGUACCAAAGUGCACUCUUCAAUGUAUAUGUGCCUGUUUCAGGCAAGGUCCGAGUUGAAAAUGCAGUAAAGCAGAGUCAUGAAAGCAAACAGACUAUUUCUGAUCAGUCUCUGGAGAGCUGCGUCUCGGUGUGGACUAAGCUGAAGGCAGUGUUUGGGCGCUAUCCUGGGCCUGGGAGGUACCAGGUUAGAAUGCCUGCCUCACUUUGGCAUUCACAGUGAGCAGGAAGCACUGGGGGUUGUGUGGGGAGUCUCCACAGGGAACAAUGUACCUUUUGAUGUGCUCCAAUGGACAUUACUUACUGCUUCCUGUUCUCCUGUGACCAUUCCCAUUUCUCUGAAGACACCAACAAGUUUGAGUAAAGAGUGACUUAGGGACACCAUUGUCCUUGCAUCUUAUGGCUACCUUAGCAAUCUGGUUUUUAAAAUUAUCUUCUUCGGAACCAUUAGGUAUUAAAAAAU